Non-coding RNA from Macaca mulatta (Rhesus monkey), 537 nucleotides. The record is from RefSeq and is a predicted model, not a curated record. Lineage: Eukaryota; Metazoa; Chordata; Mammalia; Primates; Cercopithecidae.
GGGAAGAAAAAGGAAAACAGACUUUAAUUCCUUUAUAAUUAGCUAUGACCAGCUCUUAGUCCUUUGCUUUGAGGAACUAUAGCUGCUGACAGAGUGUGUUGCUAUUUACAUUUGCUUCUCAUAACAAUUCUGUUGACAGUUAUUCUAAUUAACCCUUGUUUUACAGAAAGGAAAGAGAUGCUCAAAUUCCCAACAAUGGUAUCUACUAGAGUUCUAACUUUGAAAGUUUUCCAGGGGAAAAAUCUGGCAGAGGCCACCAGUUGGGGACAUCACCAAUAAUGGGACAAGCUGAUAUAUGCCCCUCCUGGUGUGAUACACUGAGACAUAACAUCUCUUGUGUUAUUCCUACCAAAAAUCGAAUCAUGAAGAACAAUCAGAGAAACUUAUUCUAUAAAACAAAUGACCUGGACUCUGCAAAAAUAUCAGUAUCAUCGAAGACAAAAACAAACAAAACAAAAAACAAAACAAAAAGGUGAAGAACUGUUGCAGGUUUGAAGAGACUGGAGACAUAACUAAAUACAAUGUGUGAUCCUAAAA